RNAcentral lists this ribosomal RNA (1052 nucleotides) under bacterium HTCC8047. RNAcentral's name for it is "bacterial SSU rRNA". It matches the Rfam family "Bacterial small subunit ribosomal RNA", at positions 57 to 1157 of the family's 1533-position model. The record is from RNAcentral.
GCAGUCGAACGAAGUAGCAAUACUUAGUGGCAGACGGGUGAGUAACAUGUAGGUAUCUGCCCUUUGGCCUGGAAUAACACGAGGAAACUUGUGCUAAUACCGGAUAAGUCUUUACGGAGAAAGCUUUAUGCACCAUUGGAUGAGCCUGCACUUGAUUAGUUUGUUGGUGGGGUAAUGGCCUACCAAGACUGUGAUCAAUAGCUGAUUUGAGAGGAUGAUCAGCCACAUUGGGACUGAGACACGGCCCAAACUCCUACGGGAGGCAGCAGUGGGGAAUCUUGCACAAUGGAGGAAACUCUGAUGCAGCGAUGCCGCGUGAGUGAAGAAGGCCCUUGGGUUGUAAAGCUCUUUCGUCGGGGAAGAAAAUGACUGUACCCGAAUAAGAAGGUCCGGCUAACUUCGUGCCAGCAGCCGCGGUAAUACGAAGGGACCUAGCGUAGUUCGGAAUUACUGGGCUUAAAGAGUUCGUAGGUGGUUGAAAAAGUUAGUGGUGAAAUCCCAGAGCUUAACUCUGGAACUGCCAUUAAAACUUUUCAGCUAGAGUAUGAUAGAGGAAAGCAGAAUUUCUAGUGUAGAGGUGAAAUUCGUAGAUAUUAGAAAGAAUACCAAUUGCGAAGGCAGCUUUCUGGAUCAUUACUGACACUGAGGAACGAAAGCAUGGGUAGCGAAGAGGAUUAGAUACCCUCGUAGUCCAUGCCGUAACGAUGUGUGUUAGACGUUGGAAAUUUAUUUUCAGUGUCGCAGGGAAACCGAUAAACACACCGCCUGGGGAGUACGACCGCAAGGUUAAAACUCAAAUGAAUUGACGGGGACCCGCACAAGUAGUGGAGCAUGUGGUUUAAUUCGAAGAUACGCGCAGAACCUUACCAACACUUGACAUGUUCGUCGCGACUCUAAGAGAUUAGAGUUUUCGGUUCGGCCGGACGAAACACAGGUGCUGCAUGGCUGUCGUCAGCUCGUGUCGUGAGAUGUUGGGUUAAGUCCCGCAACGAGCGCAACCCUCACUUUUAGUUGCCAUCAUUAAGUUGGGCACUCUGAAAGAACUGCCAGUG